This 1377-nucleotide ribosomal RNA is filed under the name metagenome. RNAcentral describes it as "bacterial LSU rRNA". It matches the Rfam family "Bacterial large subunit ribosomal RNA", at positions 1525 to 2925 of the family's 2925-position model. The record is from RNAcentral.
CAGUCAUGCAGGCAAAACCGCAUGAAAAAUGUAAAGCGUUAUGUGGAUCGAACAUUAGUAGAGAAGCGUGUGAGCCAGCUGCCAAGAAAAGCCGCUAUUGCUUCAUAAGUACCCGUACCGUAAACCGACACAGGUGGAUGAGGAGAGAAUCCUAAGGCCGGCGGGAGAAGUGUUGUUAAGGAACUCGGCAAAAUGACUCCGUAACUUCGGGAGAAGGAGUGCCACAGAGAUGUGGCCGCAGAGAAAUGGCCCAAGCAACUGUUUAGCAAAAACACAGGUCUAUGCAAAACCGAAAGGUGAGGUAUAUGGGCUGACGCCUGCCCGGUGCUGGAAGGUUAAGAGGAGAGGUUAGAGCAAUCGAAGCUUUGAAUUUAAGCCCCAGUAAACGGCGGCCGUAACGAUAACGGUCCUAAGGUAGCGAAAUUCCUUGUCGGGUAAGUUCCGACCCGCACGAAAGGCGUAAUGAUUUGGGCACUGUCUCAACAACACACCCGGUGAAAUUGAAAUACCAGUGAAGAUGCUGGUUACCUGCGCCAGGACGGAAAGACCCCAUGGAGCUUUACUCCAGUUUGAUACUGGGAUUCGGUACUGUCUGUACAGGAUAGGUGGGAGGCUAGGAAAUGGUGACGCCAGUUGCCAUGGAGCCAACCUUGGGAUACCACCCUUACAGUACUGGGUUUCUAACCUGCAGCCGUGACCCGGCUGGGGGACAAUGUCUGACGGGGAGUUUUGACUGGGGCGGUCGCCUCCGAAAGAGUAUCGGAGGCGCUCAAAGGUUCCCUCAGAACGGUUGGAAACCGUUCGAAGAGUGCAAAGGCAGAAGGGAGCUUGACUGCGACACCGACGGGUGGAGCAGAUACGAAAGUAGGACUUAGUGAUCCGGUGGUAUAAAGUGGGAUUGCCAUCGCUCAACGGAUAAAAGCUACCCUGGGAUAACAGGCUUAUCACUCCCAAGAGUUCACAUCGACGGAGUGGUUUGGCACCUCGAUGUCGGCUCAUCGCAUCCUGGAGCUGUAGCAGGUUCCAAGGGUUGGGCUGUUCGCCCAUUAAAGCGGUACGCGAGCUGGGUUCAGAACGUCGUGAGACAGUUCGGUCCCUAUCCGGCGUGGGCGUAGGAUGUUUGAGAGGAGCUGUCCUUAGUACGAGAGGACCGGGAUGGACAAACCUCUGGUGUAUCUGUUGUUUUACCAAAGGCAUGGCAGAGUAGCCAAGUUUGGCAGGGAUAAACGCUGAAGGCAUCUAAUCGUGAAGCCCCCCUCAAGAUAAGAUAUCCCAUCUUCGGAGUAAGACCCCUUGAAGACUACAAGGUUGAUAGGCUUCAGGUGUAAGUGUGGUAACGCACUCAGCUGAGAAGUACUAAUAGGUCGAGGACUUAUC